AGUGAACGCUGGCGGUAGGCCUAACACAUGCAAGUCGAACGGCAGCACAGUAAGUGCUUGCUCUUACGGGUGGCGAGUAGCGGACGGGGGAGGAAUACAUCGGAAUCUACUUUUUCGUGGGGGAGAACGUAGGGAAAGUAACGGUAAUACAUCAUACGACCUACGGGUGAAAGCAGGGGAUCUUCGGAAAUUGCGCGAUUGAAGGUGCCGAUGUCGGAUUAGCUAGUUAGCGGGGUAAUGGCCCACCAAGGCGACGAUGCGUAGCUGGGCAGAGAGGAUGAUCAGCCACAGUGGAACUGAGACACGGUCACGACUCCGACGGGAGGCAGCAGUGGCGAAUAUGGGACAAUGGGCGCAAGCCUGAUCCAGCCAUACCGCGUGGGUGAAGAAGGCCUUCGGGUUGUAAAUCCCUUUUGUUGGGAAAGAAAAGCAGCAGGUUAAGACCCCGCUGUUCUGACGGUACCCAAAGAAGAAGCACCGGCUAACUUCGUG
RNAcentral lists this ribosomal RNA (492 nucleotides) under uncultured bacterium. Its description in RNAcentral is "partial 16S ribosomal RNA". It matches the Rfam family "Bacterial small subunit ribosomal RNA", at positions 29 to 507 of the family's 1533-position model. The record is from RNAcentral.